Molecule: long non-coding RNA, 809 nt
Organism: Myodes glareolus (Bank vole)
Lineage: Eukaryota; Metazoa; Chordata; Mammalia; Rodentia; Cricetidae
Source: RefSeq, a predicted model, not a curated record
GCAGCAGAGGACCCUCGCGGAGCCUAACUUUAGAGAACGCUGACUGGAUUGAACCAGGCCCUUCAGAGCGCGGACACAGAUGCACUCGAGACUCUCCAACGGGGCUCCUGGGAUAACUGCCAUUCUUCAGAACUAACGGACUCCUUUCGGCCGCUGCGGCAGACCCCAGUCAGGGCACAGGCAGGUUGGAAGGCACUGGAUACUGGCUGGGCGCUCUUGCUGCCUGUGUCUCAACAGCGGUGUGCAGCACUGGCACGAUCCCGCAUCCACCCCAAGGCUGUGGAGGAAGCAGCCUGAAGACUCCCAAGACACCUGCCUUCUCACCUCCCCCAAGGAACAGAUGCCUGGCGUCUCCGGGAUGACAGCACAUGGGAUGCCUUUCCAGCCACACUUCUUGCUGAGCGUGGACCCACCAACACCCAGCUCUCCCCUUCCCCACAUCGUCCCAUGCCCGCAGGAAGUAGCCAGACUUGAGUCAACGCCCCUUUUUCCUAAGAGAGCCUAAGUGUUAGUCAAAAUAUCACCUCAGCUUCUUGUUGCUCCUUAUACAAACAGUCUGGAAUGUAAGUCCUGGUCUCUGGCCUCCAUCUUUGGAGUCCCCAUCCCUGUGCCCGCCAAGCCUUGAAACCUCCCGGGAGCAGGGCCAAGACAGCCCACCAAAAUCUUAAACUGCUUCCCCAAAAAGUUCCCAUGUGGUCUCUUUCCUUCCCCCCCCCCCACCCUAGUGGUGGUCAUGCUUGAGGCUUCCCGGUUUCCCCUCGGGGCCACCCAAGAGCGCAGGAAUCCCAUUAAACCUGGAUAUUUAUUAA